CUGAUUCCACACGCAGAAUUACUCAGUAUGUGGCUUAGAUAGAGAUAGAGAUAGAAAUACUAGAAUAUAUAGAGCACCCUCCAUUCCAACGCAAUUCUCGAAGUCGCUCCAAGUUCCGAGUUCCAACCAGUGCGUACACCAAGUCCAAAAGAAUAGAGACAAAUACUGUAGCUUCCCCGCCCAAUUAGCGGAGAUCCAAUCUCUUCAGAAUUACAGCCUUUUUCAGCCCUUUCAGGGUUAUUAACUAGUAAGUAGACUUGCUAGUAGCUAGCUUAGCCUUAGCUAGU
This 287-nucleotide long non-coding RNA is filed under the name Theobroma cacao (cacao). Its description in RNAcentral is "long non-coding RNA (TCAC_LNC005706)". The record is from RNAcentral. Lineage: Eukaryota; Viridiplantae; Streptophyta; Magnoliopsida; Malvales; Malvaceae.